Molecule: ribosomal RNA, 1287 nt
Filed under: marine metagenome
Description: bacterial LSU rRNA
Rfam family: Archaeal large subunit ribosomal RNA
Source: RNAcentral
AAGAGUAGUAGCGUAGAUGGGUGAGAAUCCCAUCCGCCGGAGGGGCUAGGGUUCCUCGACGAUGUUCAUCAGUCGAGGGUUAGUCGGUCCUAAGGUUCCCCCUAACAGGAGGAAUCGAAAGGGAAGCAGGUUAAAAUUCCUGCACCAAUUCAUAUUUUGUCCAGUUCCUGACACAUCGGGUCGUGUGGAGCACUCUUGUCGGAGUGUUGCCUUGAGCAAUAAAUUUGUGGAGUACCGUAAUGGUGAGAAGCAAACUAAGCUCUCGGGAGGCGGAGUAUUUCGCUUCUGCGUUAGCCUGGUGUCCGUGAAAAGGGAGCUGGAGCCGUAUGAGUUGUCCGUACCGAGAUCUGACACAGGUGCCCCUAGGUGAGUAGCCUAAGGCGUCGCGGCAGAAUCCGGGCGAGGGAAUUCGGCAAAUUAGCCCCGUACCUUUGGUAUAAGGGGUGCCAGCUCUGAAGAGAGCUGGUCGCAGUGACUAGGGAGCUCCGACUGUUUAUUAAAAACAUAGGGGACUGCCAGAUCGAAAGGUUGUGUAUAGUCCCUGAAUCCUGCUCAGUGCUGGUAUCUUAAAUCGGGUUUCAACCUGACGAAGGACCAGUAAACAGCGGGGGUAACUAUGACCCUCUUAAGGUAGCGUAAUACCUUGUCGCUUAAUUGGCGACUUGCAUGAAUGGUCCAACGAGGGCUCCACUGUCCCCGCGAUAUGUCCGGCGAAAUUGACUUUACUGGCGCACAGUCCAGUACAUUCUACCCGCAAGCGAAGACCCCAUAGAGCUUUACUGCAGCCUGUCGUUGUGGCACGAGUUGUUAUGUGUAGCGUAGACGGGAGACAUUACACAGGUGCGAGCGCUAGCUCGUCGCCGAGUCACCGAUGAAACACCGUCCUUUUCGAUUCGUCCCACUCACCUCUUAGGAGGAACCCCGGUAGGCGGGCAGUUUGGGUGGGGCGCCACUCCCUCGAAAAAAUAACAAGGGAGCCCAAAGGUCAGCUUAGGUAGGUCAGGAAUCUACCGUUAAGUGCAAGGGCAAAAGCUGGCUUGACGUGGUUUGGCAACACAACAAACCACGAUGUGAAAGCAGGGCCUAGCGAACCAACCAGCGCCGUUAGUAGGUGCGGUUGAUAACAGAAAAGUUACCCCGGGGAUAACUGAGUUGUCUGGAGCAAGAGCCCACAUCGACCUCCAGGCUUGCUACUUCGAUGUCGUCUCUUCCUAUCCUGGGUGUGCAGAAGCACCCAAGGGUGGGGUUGUUCGCCCAUUAAAAGGGAUCGUGAGAUGGGUUUAGACC